RNAcentral lists this ribosomal RNA (502 nucleotides) under uncultured Chloroflexota bacterium. RNAcentral's name for it is "bacterial SSU rRNA". It matches the Rfam family "Bacterial small subunit ribosomal RNA", at positions 355 to 873 of the family's 1533-position model. The record is from RNAcentral. Lineage: Bacteria; Bacillati; Chloroflexota.
UGAGGAAUAUUGCACAAUGGGCGAAAGCCAGAUGCAGCAACGCCGCGUGGAGGAUGACGGCCUUCGGGUUGUAAACUCCUUUUUCAGGGGAAGAGAUGACGGUACCCUGAGAAUAAGUCUCGGCUAACUACGUGCCAGCAGCCGCGGUAACACGUAGGAGACGAGCGUUAUCCGGAUUUACUGGGCGUAAAGCGCGUGCAGGCGGUUUGUAAGUCGUGCGUGAAAGCUCCCUGGCUUAACCGGGAGAGGCCGUACGAAACUAACGAACUGGAGGGCAGGCGAGGGGUGUGGAAUUCCGGGUGUAGUGGUGAAAUGCGUAGAUAUCCGGAGGAACACCAGUGGCGAAGGCGACACCCUGGACUGUACCUGACGCUCAGACGCGAAAGCAUGGGGAGCGAACGGGAUUAGAAACCCCGGUGUCCAUGCCGUAAACGAUGUGCACUAGGCGUGGUGGGCUUCACCGCCCGCUGUGCCGACAGCCAACGCGAUAAGUGCACCGUCC